GACGAACGCUGGCGGCGUGCUUAACACAUGCAAGUCGAACGGUGAAGCGCCUUCCUUUUUGGUGGGUGUGGAUGAGUGGCGAACGGGUGAGUAACACGUGAGUAACCUGCCCCCUUCUUCUGGAUAACCGCAUGAAAGUGUGGCUAAUACGGGAUAUUCUGGGUCUGUCGCAUGAUGGGUCUGGGAAAGAUAUUGUUUCGGUGGGGGAUGGGCUCGCGGCCUAUCAGCUUGUUGGUGGGGUGAUGGCCUACCAAGGCGGUGACGGGUAGCCGACCUGAGAGGGUGGACGGUCACACUGGGACUGAGACACGGCCCAGACUCCUACGGGAGGCAGCAGUGGGGAAUAGUGCACAAUGGGCGCAAGCCUGAUGCAGCGACGCCGCGUGAGGGAUGGAGGCCUUCGGGUUGUGAACCUCUUUCGCCAGUGAAGCAGGCCUGCCUCGUUUGUGGGUGGGUUGACGGUAGCUGGAUAAGAAGCGCCGGCUAACUACGUG
This 494-nucleotide ribosomal RNA is filed under the name uncultured bacterium. RNAcentral's name for it is "partial 16S ribosomal RNA". It matches the Rfam family "Bacterial small subunit ribosomal RNA", at positions 28 to 507 of the family's 1533-position model. The record is from RNAcentral.